GCUCAGAGGAAGUGCUCCCUCGCCAUGCCGCCCGCCAUCCCAGCAUGUCAGUUAGCCACAAGGCUAACAAGACAUUUGCCCUGGGCAUUUGGGGGCGGCAAAAAAAGCCGCCCCCAAAUGCCCAGGGCAAAUGUCUUGUUUGCCUUGUGGCUAAAACGUCCCUGGUGGAGCUUGCAGCACUGGAUACACAGAGCUAGUCUCUGUUUACAUCAUUGCAUUGUCUACCUGAGUGUGUGUAUCUGACAGUGAGUAUCCUUGUAUCUGUAUGUAUGUUUCUCUGAGCAUGUGUAUGCUUGUGUACUGACUGGCCUUUGGCACUGAGUUUAUGGCGAUGCUAUGUUUUAUGACGGUGUGUAUAAUGAUUGCCUAUGGGGGGGUGACAGGGUGAGUAAAGGGGUAACUGGCAGGGUGAGUGUAGAAGAGCAGGAGGGUGCCUGCGUGUUGAGGGUUGACGGUGUGCAUGGAGGGAGGUGCCAGAGUGCGGAGAGUGGUGGCCGUGUGGGGAGGGUGACAUAGUGUGAGAGGGUGGGUGAUGAGGUG
Molecule: long non-coding RNA, 540 nt
Filed under: Pelobates cultripes (western spadefoot toad)
Lineage: Eukaryota; Metazoa; Chordata; Amphibia; Anura; Pelobatidae
Source: RNAcentral